Molecule: ribosomal RNA, 300 nt
Filed under: uncultured bacterium
Lineage: Bacteria
Description: bacterial SSU rRNA
Rfam family: Bacterial small subunit ribosomal RNA (bases 59-300)
Source: RNAcentral
GGUAACAGAGGCGCAGUGGCGGUGGGUAUGCGUCGGGUGCGGUGGUUUGCCUGUAUGGUUGGGCGGAAAGAGCGCGGAGGCGGUUUGGCGCGUCUGGCGUGAAAGUCCGGGGCUUAACCCCGGUUCUGCGGGGGGUACGGGCGGACUAGAGUGCAGUAGGGGAGACUGGAAUUCCUGGUGUAGCGGUGGAAUGCGCAGAUAUCAGGAGGAACACCGAUGGCGAAGGCAGGUCUCUGGGCUGUAACUGACGCUGAGGAGCGAAAGCAUGGGGAGCGAACAGGAUUAGAUACCCGUGUAGUC